RNAcentral lists this ribosomal RNA (497 nucleotides) under Perisphaerus sp. 4 FL-2017. RNAcentral's name for it is "eukaryotic LSU rRNA". The record is from RNAcentral. Lineage: Eukaryota; Metazoa; Arthropoda; Insecta; Blattodea; Blaberidae.
AAACGGGAGAGACCCGAAAGGUCGAAAGGGGGAGASUCAAUCUUGUCCGCGCGUCCGGUGCCGCUCUCGGUCCCAAGGAUGUUGCCGGCCGCCGGCCGCGUCGCAAGGCGCGAGCCGGGACGGAGUCGGUGGCACCGGGGCUGGAGGUCCGGCCGCGGCGAGGUGCACUUCUCCCCCCGAGUAGGACGUCGCGACCCGUUGGAUCGAGUCCGGCCUAAGGCCCGGGAUGAGACCGAGGGAACCGCCGCACAGCAGUGCGGACCAACGGUUCCCCGGACCCUGGAUGUCCUGGCCGGCACCCGACGGCAAACCUCGCGGAGAAGGUCCGCUCUCUCGCARAGUGAGCGUCCGGCCCGGUGGGCAAGCUCGACGCAGGUGCAAGUGGUGCCGUGGCUUCCGCCACGUCCCCGGCCCUCGUCGGCUGCUGGUCCCCGGAGUUCUCGGACUGAGACCGACUCCCGUCAGCGGCGCUUCUGCUUCGGGUGCUUUCCCRACCC